This 2031-nucleotide long non-coding RNA is filed under the name Vigna radiata. RNAcentral describes it as "long non-coding RNA (VRAD_LNC012250)". The record is from RNAcentral. Lineage: Eukaryota; Viridiplantae; Streptophyta; Magnoliopsida; Fabales; Fabaceae.
UUUAAUUGGGAUACAACCUUCAUAUAUAAGUGGGGUAGAUACAAGAAUCCAAUUCAACUAUCUUCAUUUCAAAAACCUCUUAAGCAUUACUGUUUUUGCAUAUACCGUCCUUUUCUUUCCUAUGGAGAUUAGAGAGUCAUGAUCGAAGUUGCCUGAAUCAAACAUGGCGAGAUCCAGGUAUGAAGUUUGAUGUUGAGAAAAAAUAGUUUUGAAAAUGGAUCUUGUUGAAGAAUAUGACUAGAUCUGAUUCUGUUGGAAUUUUAGUUACUAAAAAUCUAAUGUUAGAUUAGAGCUUUGUACAAUAUUUACACUGUUACUUCUUUCCUCAUUUAUUUUAUUUAAAAAUAACAUUCACUAAAAUUAAUAAUUCAAUUAUCCAAAACUUGCUCACAUGUUACUUAAAAAAUCGAUUCAUGUAAUUUUCGGGACAGUGACAAUUAUAAUUACGCAAGGAUGAGUCACGUAGUAAGGAAAAUUUCAAAGAAAAGAUCUUAAAAUAUCAUUUCAAUCCAUUAGUCUGUGGUGGAAACUCCAAGAAGAAAAUGAACGAAUUGAUGUAUUGAAAGUGAUCAGCAAAUGCUCCUAUUAAAACGAUGUUUUAUGUACAAGAAAAUAUAAAAAAGAAUUGGAGAAAAAGUAGAAACUGAAUGAGACACAUACAUGACCAAAUUUGACUAUGUUGCGACCCGCACUUCAUAUUUAACGAUGAAUCUCAGUAGCACGCGAAUGGUGCACAACGUUAAGUUUUAAGUCUCCUAUAGGAGUAACCAGCUUCAAGGAAGAAAACCUAUACUUCCUUUCAUUUACAAAGUACCCUAAGAAUUCUAUCUAUAGGCUGUACAAUAUCCUGUUGCAAAAACCAUUUUUGAUGCCUAUGUAUCUCAUUCAUGACUACGUCAGGAUCCUAUACCAAAUUACAGGGAAGCCCUGGACCUAACCAACCAAGAGAAACCCAAAAAAGUAAGGCAGAACAGAAAUGGGUUAACACCACUAAGUUCAGCAGCUACUCAAUCGCCGAGCUAACUGUUCGACCAAAUCUACUUUUCGAAGCUUAUAAUAUUUUCUUACAUUGUGUUUCUUUGCCAUAGCCCUCAAAUCAGUCAAUGACAAGCUAUUCAAAGAUAAGGUCUCGUCAUGAGAAUCCACCAAGGAAUGUGACUUGUGAGUACGAGGAGCUAACUGGCUUUUUUUGUCCACAGAAACCCCGUCCGAAUUUGGUACGUCCAAAUUAACACUUGAAUUCUGUAUGUCAACGGUGAUAGGCAACUUUGUAACUCUUCUUUUCUUUUGUAAUUCAGAAAAUUUACUGUCAUAAAGAACAAUAGCACGACCUUCAGUCUCAUGCUUGUUUGGUUGCACUGCCCCUUUAGUAAUAAUCUUCCGCUUCAUUGACUCGUUUAAAAUGGUAACAUCAGUACAGGAUUUGGAUCUUCGCUGACUCUUAGUUGAUACAACUAUGGAUGCACUUGGAAUAACUUCCGUACAACUGUCAAAUGGUUCUCUGGAAGAAAAUGCCUUUAGUUCCAGUUCCUGCUUUUCCGAAGCUUUAAGCUUUGACGGGAAACUCAUCUUGGACUUUCUGAGGUUAGUACUCAGUUGGGAUUUAAGGUCUUGUUCAUGUUCUUCCCCUUUAUCUUCAUCUACAUCCAUCAGCUGUAACCCAGUAUACAAUGAACUCUUGGUAUGCAUCCCUAGCAGUGAAAUCAAUGCAGAAUUUUCAGCAUUAAUAAGGGGUGGUGUUUUCAAUGUUGAACACUAGUCCAGAAUUAUUACCAUUGCUAUCUUUAACGGAGCAAAAUUCUGUAUCAGUGAUACAUAAUGUUUUAGGAUAUACAACUUGUAAAGGGUAAUUCAGGGAGUUCAAAUCUUCGUCUGGAGCAACCUUGGGUUCUUUCUUGCAGUCCCUUUGUGCAGCUUUUGGAGCAAAAUCACAUGGCUCUUUGUCUAAAUUAGGUUUUGCUCGUUUCUUUCGUUGUGAAGUAUCUAAUAUGGAAUGUGGACCCGUUUUCUUCCCAUUGAUGUCAAUUGCAG